AGCCAGCAGCCGCGGUAAUACGUAGGGGGCGAGCGUUGUCCGAAUUUACUGGGCGUAAAGCGCGCGUAGGCGGUUUCUUAAGUCUGGGGUGAAAGGUUCAACGCUCAACGUGAACAGUGCCUUGGAUACUGGGAGACUUGAGUCUGGGAGGGGGCAGUGGAAUUCCUGGUGUAGCGGUGAAAUGCGUAGAUAUCAGGAGGAACACCGGUGGCGAAGGCGGCUGCCUGGCCUAAGACUGACGCUGAGGUGCGAAAGCGUGGGUAGCGAACGGGAUUAGAUACCCCGGUAGUCCACGCCGUAAACGAUGAGUGCUAGGUGUAGGGGGUAUCGACCCCCCCUGUGCCGUCGCCAACGCAUUAAGCACUCCGCCUGGGGAGUACGGCCGCAAGGUUGAAACUUAAAGAAAUUGACGGC
RNAcentral lists this ribosomal RNA (414 nucleotides) under uncultured bacterium. Its description in RNAcentral is "bacterial SSU rRNA". It matches the Rfam family "Bacterial small subunit ribosomal RNA", at positions 506 to 917 of the family's 1533-position model. The record is from RNAcentral.